AUCCUAGUGCAAGGGCUUAACACGUAUCAGUGAGGAGAAAUCCGAGAUCGUGUUUUUGCUAGUUGAAAACUACCUAACGUUGACUGCUUCGAGUGGGCCUCAUUGCCUGCUUGGGAAUUUUUGAAACACUCCUACUCCUACUCCUACUCCUUAACUCUUGGAGU
RNAcentral lists this small nuclear RNA (164 nucleotides) under Penicillium flavigenum. RNAcentral describes it as "U4 spliceosomal RNA". The stretch from base 1 to 135 matches the Rfam family "U4 spliceosomal RNA". Rfam says of the family: U4 small nuclear RNA (U4 snRNA) is a component of the major U2-dependent spliceosome. The record is from Rfam by way of RNAcentral. Lineage: Eukaryota; Fungi; Ascomycota; Eurotiomycetes; Eurotiales; Aspergillaceae.